This 253-nucleotide ribosomal RNA is filed under the name uncultured bacterium. Its description in RNAcentral is "partial 16S ribosomal RNA". It matches the Rfam family "Bacterial small subunit ribosomal RNA", at positions 524 to 776 of the family's 1533-position model. The record is from RNAcentral.
UACGGAGGGUGCGAGCGUUGUUCGGAAUCACUGGGCGUAAAGGGCGUGUAGGCGGUCCGCUAAGUCUGAUGUGAAAGCCCGGGGCUCACCCCCGGAAGUGCAUUGGAAACUGGCGGACUCGAGUCCCGGAGAGGAGAGUGGAAUUCCUGGUGUAGCGGUGAAAUGCGUAGAUAUCAGGAGGAACACCGGUGGCGAAGGCGGCUCUCUGGACGGUGACUGACGCUGAGACGCGAAAGCGUGGGGAGCGAACAGG